RNAcentral lists this ribosomal RNA (2923 nucleotides) under Klebsiella pneumoniae. Its description in RNAcentral is "23S ribosomal RNA". It matches the Rfam family "Bacterial large subunit ribosomal RNA". Lineage: Bacteria; Pseudomonadati; Pseudomonadota; Gammaproteobacteria; Enterobacterales; Enterobacteriaceae. The record is from RNAcentral.
GGGUUGUGAGGUUAAGCGACUAAGCGUACACGGUGGAUGCCCUGGCAGUCAGAGGCGAUGAAGGACGUGCUAAUCUGCGAAAAGCGUCGGUAAGGUGAUAUGAACCGUUACAGCCGGCGAUGUCCGAAUGGGGAAACCCAGUGCAAUUCGUUGCACUAUCGUUAACUGAAUACAUAGGUUAACGAGGCGAACCGGGGGAACUGAAACAUCUAAGUACCCCGAGGAAAAGAAAUCAACCGAGAUUCCCCCAGUAGCGGCGAGCGAACGGGGAGCAGCCCAGAGUCUGAAUCAGCUUGUGUGUUAGUGGAACGGUCUGGAAAGUCCGACGGUACAGGGUGAUAGUCCCGUACACCAAAAUGCACAGGCUGUGAACUCGAAGAGUAGGGCGGGACACGUGGUAUCCUGUCUGAAUAUGGGGGGACCAUCCUCCAAGGCUAAAUACUCCUGACUGACCGAUAGUGAACCAGUACCGUGAGGGAAAGGCGAAAAGAACCCCGGCGAGGGGAGUGAAAAAGAACCUGAAACCGUGUACGUACAAGCAGUGGGAGCACCUUCGGGUGUGACUGCGUACCUUUUGUAUAAUGGGUCAGCGACUUAUAUUCUGUAGCAAGGUUAACCGUAUAGGGGAGCCGCAGGGAAACCGAGUCUUAACUGGGCGUUAAGUUGCAGGGUAUAGACCCGAAACCCGGUGAUCUAGCCAUGGGCAGGUUGAAGGUUGGGUAACACUAACUGGAGGACCGAACCGACUAAUGUUGAAAAAUUAGCGGAUGACUUGUGGCUGGGGGUGAAAGGCCAAUCAAACCGGGAGAUAGCUGGUUCUCCCCGAAAGCUAUUUAGGUAGCGCCUCGUGAAUUCAUCUUCGGGGGUAGAGCACUGUUUCGGCUAGGGGGUCAUCCCGACUUACCAACCCGAUGCAAACUACGAAUACCGAAGAAUGUUAUCACGGGAGACACACGGCGGGUGCUAACGUCCGUCGUGAAGAGGGAAACAACCCAGACCGCCAGCUAAGGUCCCAAAGUCAUGGUUAAGUGGGAAACGAUGUGGGAAGGCACAGACAGCCAGGAUGUUGGCUUAGAAGCAGCCAUCAUUUAAAGAAAGCGUAAUAGCUCACUGGUCGAGUCGGCCUGCGCGGAAGAUGUAACGGGGCUAAACCAUGCACCGAAGCUGCGGCAGCGACACUAUGUGUUGUUGGGUAGGGGAGCGUUCUGUAAGCCUGCGAAGGUGUGCUGUGAGGCAUGCUGGAGGUAUCAGAAGUGCGAAUGCUGACAUAAGUAACGAUAAAGCGGGUGAAAAGCCCGCUCGCCGGAAGACCAAGGGUUCCUGUCCAACGUUAAUCGGGGCAGGGUGAGUCGACCCCUAAGGCGAGGCCGAAAGGCGUAGUCGAUGGGAAACAGGUUAAUAUUCCUGUACUUGGUGUUACUGCGAAGGGGGGACGGAGAAGGCUAUGUUAGCCGGGCGACGGUUGUCCCGGUUUAAGCAUGUAGGCUGGUUGUCCAGGCAAAUCCGGAUAAUCAAGGCUGAGGUGUGAUGACGAGGCACUACGGUGCUGAAGUAACAAAUGCCCUGCUUCCAGGAAAAGCCUCUAAGCAUCAGGUAACAUCAAAUCGUACCCCAAACCGACACAGGUGGUCAGGUAGAGAAUACCAAGGCGCUUGAGAGAACUCGGGUGAAGGAACUAGGCAAAAUGGUGCCGUAACUUCGGGAGAAGGCACGCUGGUGUGUAGGUGAAGUCCCUGCGGAUGGAGCUGAGACCAGUCGAAGAUACCAGCUGGCUGCAACUGUUUAUUAAAAACACAGCACUGUGCAAACACGAAAGUGGACGUAUACGGUGUGACGCCUGCCCGGUGCCGGAAGGUUAAUUGAUGGGGUUAUCCGUAAGGAGAAGCUCUUGAUCGAAGCCCCGGUAAACGGCGGCCGUAACUAUAACGGUCCUAAGGUAGCGAAAUUCCUUGUCGGGUAAGUUCCGACCUGCACGAAUGGCGUAAUGAUGGCCAGGCUGUCUCCACCCGAGACUCAGUGAAAUUGAACUCGCUGUGAAGAUGCAGUGUACCCGCGGCAAGACGGAAAGACCCCGUGAACCUUUACUAUAGCUUGACACUGAACAUUGAGCCUUGAUGUGUAGGAUAGGUGGGAGGCUUUGAAGCGUGGACGCCAGUCUGCGUGGAGCCAACCUUGAAAUACCACCCUUUAAUGUUUGAUGUUCUAACGUUGGCCCCUGACCGGGGUUGCGGACAGUGUCUGGUGGGUAGUUUGACUGGGGCGGUCUCCUCCCAAAGCGUAACGGAGGAGCACGAAGGUUAGCUAAUCCUGGUCGGACAUCAGGAGGUUAGUGCAAUGGCAUAAGCUAGCUUGACUGCGAGCGUGACGGCGCGAGCAGGUGCGAAAGCAGGUCAUAGUGAUCCGGUGGUUCUGAAUGGAAGGGCCAUCGCUCAACGGAUAAAAGGUACUCCGGGGAUAACAGGCUGAUACCGCCCAAGAGUUCAUAUCGACGGCGGUGUUUGGCACCUCGAUGUCGGCUCAUCACAUCCUGGGGCUGAAGUAGGUCCCAAGGGUAUGGCUGUUCGCCAUUUAAAGUGGUACGCGAGCUGGGUUUAGAACGUCGUGAGACAGUUCGGUCCCUAUCUGCCGUGGGCGCUGGAGAAUUGAGGGGGGCUGCUCCUAGUACGAGAGGACCGGAGUGGACGCAUCACUGGUGUUCGGGUUGUCAUGCCAAUGGCACUGCCCGGUAGCUAAAUGCGGAAGAGAUAAGUGCUGAAAGCAUCUAAGCACGAAACUUGCCCCGAGAUGAGUUCUCCCUGAGACUUUAAGUCUCCUGAAGGAACGUUGAAGACGACGACGUUGAUAGGCCGGGUGUGUAAGCGCAGCGAUGCGUUGAGCUAACCGGUACUAAUGAACCGUGAGGCUUAACCUUACAACGCCGAAG